RNAcentral lists this ribosomal RNA (477 nucleotides) under uncultured bacterium. RNAcentral describes it as "bacterial SSU rRNA". It matches the Rfam family "Bacterial small subunit ribosomal RNA", at positions 335 to 799 of the family's 1533-position model. The record is from RNAcentral.
ACUCCUACGGGAGGCAGCAGUGGGAAUAUUGGACAAUGGGCGAAAGCCUGAUCCAGCCAUGCCGCGUGUGUGAAGAAGGCCCUCGGGUUGUAAAGCACUUUCAGCGAGGAAGAACGCCUAGUGGUUAAUACCCAUUAGGAAAGACAUCACCCGCAGAAGAAGACACCGGCUAACGUCCGUAGCCAGCCAGCCGCCGGGUAAUACGGAGGGUGCAAGCGUUAAUCGGAAUUACUGGGCGUAAAGCGCGCGUAGGUGGCUUGAUAAGCCGGUUGUGAAAGCCCCGGGCUCAACCUGGGAACGGCAUCCGGAACUGUCAAGCUAGAGUGCAGGAGAGGAAGGUAGAAUUCCCGGUGUAGCGGUGAAAUGCGUAGAGAUCGGGAGGAAUACCAGUGGCGAAGGCGGCCUUCUGGACUGACACUGACACUGAGGUGCGAAAGCGUGGGUAGCAAACAGGAUUAGAUACCCUGGUAGGCUCUG